GGCUGAGUGGACUGGCGGGACGAGAAAAGGGGCGGGGCGUGCCCAAUCCGGGCUGAAGAGCGUUACCAUGGCAAACGUGCCGCGGAGGCCCUGAGAGGCCACCCGCCCUAUGUUGGUCUGCGAGAAAUCAAACUUCGAACAGGACAAGCCCGAAGCCCGCUUCUCCGGGAGACGGGGUGCCACAAUUACGAGAUGAAGGUAUAUACUGCCACUCAAUCUCACUGGGAUUGGCACCCAUAUGCACUAUGGUCAUUUUGCUUGUGUCCAUCAAACUUCUGAUCCUAAGAUUGCACCUUUGGCAUACUGGCUACUCCAAAACUUCUAUAAUGAUGGUAGAGUUCAGUGAAGUGGAGCUUCAGGCCUGCCAUCCCCAUGCUCCUGGCAAGCAGCAGCAUCUCCCCUGA
Molecule: long non-coding RNA, 404 nt
Filed under: Pongo abelii (Sumatran orangutan)
Lineage: Eukaryota; Metazoa; Chordata; Mammalia; Primates; Hominidae
Description: lncRNA (ENSPPYG00000030801.1)
Source: RNAcentral